AGACGUCUACAUUAGAUACCCCUGUAGUCCUAGCCGUAAACGAUACUCGCUAGGUGUCGGCCACGGUGCGACCGUUGUCGGUGCCGUAGGGAAGCCGUGAAGCGAGCCACCUGGGAAGUACGGCCGCAAGGCUGAAACUUAGAGGAAUUGGCGGGGGAGCACCACAACGGGUGGAGCUUGCGGUUUAAUUGGAUUCAACGCCGGAAAUCUUACCGGGACCGACAGCAACAUGAAGGCCAGGCUGAAGACUUUGCCGGAUUAGCUG
RNAcentral lists this ribosomal RNA (265 nucleotides) under uncultured archaeon. RNAcentral describes it as "partial 16S ribosomal RNA". It matches the Rfam family "Archaeal small subunit ribosomal RNA", at positions 714 to 982 of the family's 1478-position model. The record is from RNAcentral.